CGGCGCGCCCGCCGCCGCGGCCUCCUCGAGGUGCGUCCCCGACUGUCCCCAACAUCUGCCACCCGUCCCCGCGGGGUCCCCGAGACGUUCUCCAUCCCCUUGGUGUCCCCAAGACGUUCUCCAUCCCCGUGGCGUCCUCGAGAUGUUCUCCAUCCCCGUGGCGUCCCUGAGAUGUUCUCUAUCCCCACGGUGUCCCCGAGGUGCUGUCUGUCACCCGUGUGUCUCCAGGGCGUCCCUGCAGUGUCCCCCAUGGUGACCUGAGGUGUCCCCCCAGGUGUUCUCCAUCCCUGAGGUGUCCCCAAGAUGUUCUCCAUCCCCGUAGGGCCCCAAGAGGUUCUCCAUCCCCACGGUGUCCCCGAGGUCACCCAUCCCCAGUGCCUCUCCAUGGAGUCCCCAUGGUGUCCCUAAGGCGUUCUCCAUCCCCGAGGUGUCUGUGGGGUGUCCCCAAGGUGUCACCCAUCCCCAGUGCCUCUCCACGGAGUCCCCAUGGUGCCCCCAAGGCGUUCUCUAUCCCCGAGGUGUCUGUGGGGUGUCCCCAAGGUGUCACCCAUCCCCAGUGCCUCUCCACGGAGUCCCCAUGGUGCCCCCAAGGCGUUCUCUAUCCCCGAGGUGUCCGUGGGGUGUCCCCAAGGUGUCACUCAUCCCCAGUGCCUCUCCAUGGAGUCCCCAUGGUGCCCCCAAGGCGUUCUCUAUCCCCGAGGUGUCACCCAUCCCCAGUGCCUCUCCACGGAGUCCCCAUGGUGUCCCUAAGGCGGUCUCGAUCCCCGAGGUGUCUGUGGGGUGUCCCCAAGGUGUCACCCAUCCCCAGUGCCUCUCCACGGAGUCCCCAUGGUGCCCCCAAGGCAUUCUCUAUCCCCGAGGUGUCACCCAUCCCCAGUGCCUCUCCACGGAGUCCCCAUGGUGCCCCCAAGGCAUUCUCUAUCCCCGAGGUGUCCGUGGGGUGUCCCCAAGGUGUCACCCAUCCCCAGUGCCUCUCCACGGAGUCCCCAUGGUGUCCCUAAGGCGGUCUCGAUCCCCGAGGUGUCUGUGGGGUGUCCCCAAGGUGUCACCCAUCCCCAGUGCCUCUCCACGGAGUCCCCAUGGUGUCCCUAAGGCGGUCUCGAUCCCCGAGGUGUCUGUGGGGUGUCCCCAAGGUGUCACCCAUCCCCAGUGCCUCUCCACGGAGUCCCCAUGGUGCCCCCAAGGCAUUCUCUAUCCCCGAGGUGUCACCCAUCCCCAGUGCCUCUCCACGGAGUCCCCAUGGUGCCCCCAAGGCAUUCUCUAUCCCCGAGGUGUCCGUGGGGUGUCCCCAAGGUGUCACCCAUCCCCAGUGCCUCUCCACGGAGUCCCCAUGG
Non-coding RNA from Struthio camelus australis, 1334 nucleotides. The record is from RefSeq and is a predicted model, not a curated record. NCBI's taxonomy places the organism in Eukaryota, Metazoa, Chordata, Aves, Struthioniformes, Struthionidae.